Long non-coding RNA from Oryctolagus cuniculus (rabbit), 2479 nucleotides. Lineage: Eukaryota; Metazoa; Chordata; Mammalia; Lagomorpha; Leporidae. The record is from Ensembl.
AUGGAGAGCAGGGCCAGGGGGCUUGAUGCAUGGUCGUCCCGCACGCCCCAGAUCUCACCUUACAAAUGCAGAGGUGAGAGGUCAUGGCCUCGGGACCUGUGCAGGGUCACACAGCUAGGGAAGGAAGGAGUGGGAUCCAAACCCUGUCCCUUGUCUCCAUCGUCACUCCAUCACACUGCUGACGGAUCAGAGGGCCAGGUAGCGGGGCGUGGGUGUGAGUUAGCCCAGGUCCAGGUAGGGGGGCGUGGGUGUGAGUUGGCUCAGCUCCAGGUAGGGGGGUGUGGGUGUGAGUUGACUCAGCUCCAGGUAGGGGGGCAUGGGUGUGAGUUAGCUCAGCUCCAGGUAGGGGGACGUGGGUGUGAGUUGGCCCAGGUCCAGGUAGGGGGGCGUGGGUGUGAGUUGGCCCAGGUCCAGGUAGGGGGGCGUGGGUGUGAGUUAGCCCAGGUCCAGGUAGGGGGGCGUGGGUGUGAGUUAGCCCAGGUCCAAGUAGGGGGGGCCUGGAUCUGAGUUAGCCCAGGUCCAGGUAGGGGGGCGUGGGUGUGAGUUAUUUGGCGGAACGCGCUGUCGCACCUCUGCAGACGUGGUAGCGGCCUCCCAGCGGCCUGGUGUGUGCUGGUGUCAGGCACAGCUCGGGGCCGCUGGGCCCAGUGCCUUCGCUCUGUGGAACGAGCACCGGAGUGUCUUGCCCGGCUUACGAAGUUGGGAGAGGCAGAGCCAGGCUGAGACCCCACUGGCGGGAGGACUUUAGGAUCCUCACUUAGCCCCUUGACCCUGGUGGGCUCUCCAGAUGUUUACCCGUGGCACUGCUAGGAGGAGGGAGGGAGAGAGGUGGCAGAAGUGUGGCACGAGCUGCACGUGGCGAUGGUGAGCCCAGGUCUGUCCACUUGGUGCCCGAUGGAUGACAUGUUGGGAGGCCCCUGUAACGCGAGGCCUGGGCGGCAGACGCUUCGAGCUGCUGAGUGCACGGUUGGGGUGAGCGGGAUGGGCAAGCUUAUGCCGGAGCUCGGAUGGUGUUUUCCGAGGGAGAUGGGAAACGGUAGGCAGGAGCGAGCCGUUGGAUUUGUUGUCAUGAAGUGGCUGUGGAUCAGGGUGGGAAUGACUGGGAGGAAGCAGUGAGACAGGUGGGGGGGCGUUGCUACUGCGGGCAUGCAGGUCGGUGUGGAAGGCAGAGGCGGACUGCACGGGUCCACGAGAGCUGGGCUUGACGGGGCUUCGGGAUGGGACGUGGGGGUGGGGUGAGAGGAGCCCUGGAGGGUGCCUCCCUGGGUGCCGGUGACAGACGGAUGAUGGGAUCCUUCGGUAACGUGGGCGGUGGGAGAAGGCAAGGCCAGUGUUGGACGUAAGGAGUUGGGGGUUCGUGUGGACAUCGCAGUGGGAAUGAGGCCAGACUGAGCGCUCCAGUCGAGAGCUGAGAGAGGCGGGCUGAGUGGUGGAGGGAGCCAGCAAGUGGGCGGCCCCAGGGCGGACGGGGUGGGGGAAGCGAGAGCCUUGGCUUGGAGCCCAAGUGCACGCACACGCACACGCAUGUUGGGGUCUUGGCUCCCCAGUUUUCAUGGUGAGCACUACCGUGGAGUGUUAGUGCAGAGCAGGGAGCAAGUAUUUCCCGGCUUCUCACCUCUGCUCUCACAGGGGAAGGCCGUCGUGGACAGUUCGUAAUCGAACUUUGAGGCCGUGGGCCAGUAAAACUUCAUUUACAAAACUACGAGGCCGGCAGCUCUGGCCCUGGGCCGGUUCUUAGCCGCAGUGUGGCAGGAAGGUGCUCGCUCCCGCUGGUCUCUGAGUCCUUGGGUGGAAACAGCCAGGUCUUGUUGAGCGUUUCCUUAGGUUCUCUAGGAAGUGGGGGCAGCGUUGGGCACAAAGUCAGUGUACCCAGGCCUUUGCUUGCGGUUAGGGUGCCAGCGUGGGGACUUACAGACCUGGGCUCCUUCAGCCCCCGUCAUCGCGUGGCGGUCAGCAGGUGAGGACGCCUGCCUGGCCCGUGGGCUCAGUGACCUGCCUGAGCUUGCUUCCACCCAGAGGGGACACUGGAACCCCGUCGGGCCUGCUGACCUGAGACCCUUCCCAACAAGGACAAGGACAAGCUAGGAUCUUCCCUUCCCAGCAGCACACUGGUGCCUUCAACAAUGGCUUCCACUGAUGUUGGGAAGCACUUGUAUGAAGCAAUAGUGCUGUGGAUCGGCGAGUUAAGCUGCCACCUGCAGCACCAGCAUCCCAUAUGGGCAUGGGUUGGAGUCCUGGCUGCUCCUCUUCUGAUCCAGCUCUCUGCUGUGGCCUGGGAAAGCAGUAGAAGAUGGCCCAAGUGCUUGGACCCCUGCACCCACGUGGGAGACCUCCUGGCUCCUGGCUUCAGAUUGGCCCAGCUCUGGCUGUUGCAGCCAUUUAGAGAGUGAACCAGCAGAUAGAAGAUCUCUCUCUUUCUCUCUCUCUCUAACCUUGCCUUUCAAAUAAAUAAAUAAACCUUUAAAAAGAGUAGUAGUGG